UACGUAGGGGGCAAGCGUUGUCCGGAAUCAUUGGGCGUAAAGAGCGUGUAGGCGGCCCGAUAAGUCCGCUGUGAAAGUCCAGGGCUCAACCCUGGAAUACCAGUGGAAACUGUCGGGCUGGAGUCCGGAAGAGGCGAGUGGAAUUCCUGGUGUAGCGGUGAAAUGCGCAGAUAUCAGGAGGAACACCAAUGGCGAAGGCAGCUCGCUGGGACGGUACUGACGCUGAGACGCGAAAGCGUGGGGAGCAAACAGG
Molecule: ribosomal RNA, 253 nt
Filed under: uncultured bacterium
Lineage: Bacteria
Description: partial 16S ribosomal RNA
Rfam family: Bacterial small subunit ribosomal RNA
Source: RNAcentral